RNAcentral lists this ribosomal RNA (336 nucleotides) under Triticum aestivum (bread wheat). Its description in RNAcentral is "partial small subunit ribosomal RNA". Lineage: Eukaryota; Viridiplantae; Streptophyta; Magnoliopsida; Poales; Poaceae. The record is from RNAcentral.
AUGCCAGAGCACUUUAUUCAAAUCCUACAUAAAUCUAGGGUUCCAAAUUCAUUCCUACUUAUUCUUAAUUCAUUACGUAAACCCCUGGCCUUUUCCUUGUCUAAACCUGGGAAUUCAAUUUUUCAGAAAAGAAAAGAAAAGGAAUCACCUUAUCCGAAGCCACCUGGGCCUUUUACCUCCAACCAGCCCACCUCACUUACCUCUUUCAGCCCAGCGAGGCCACCAAUGCCGAUCCCUCCUGUUCUUCUUCUAGCUUCUGUAUGGCAGCUCAUCCAGCAGGUCCACGUUGACGCUUGUGUUGAUUUGACGGCCGGAGCUGCUCCCUUCACCCUAUAA